AGAGAAGAGUAGAUGGGAGUUGUUGGAAUUGGUACUUGCUUCUCGAUGGCCUGUGAACAGCAUUGUGGAAGCUGUUAAGAAUUGUUUGAAAAGACUUGAGGAACACCUACUACAUUAUUCUGCUCGCUGUAUUCCAGCAUUAAGAAAGCCUGGGAACCCAUUACUCAUGCUUUUGAAGAUUUUCCAUCACAGUACUAGUGGAGAAGAGUGAACAUGUCCUUCCCAGGAGCCUGAAAUAGUACCUGAAGGUUCCUCCAGAAGCAGUCCUUGAGCUAAGGAUUUGGGCAUAAGUGGUUUGUUAAUGCCCAGCCCCAGAAGAAGAAACCAGUAAGGGAGUAGAAGAAGCAGACUGGGGAGACGGAAGAACCUAAGAGAGGGCUAACAAGAUUGUGGACUAGAUGGUUUUGUAAAAGUAUUAUAAGCACGACAAUCGGAGAAACUCUCGAUUUCCUAACGAGUACAUGGGCCCGUACCUAAGUAAUUCACAUCGGUUCUUGUCCAUCUCAUCGUAC
This is a long non-coding RNA of Zalophus californianus (California sea lion), 512 nucleotides long. RefSeq lists it as uncharacterized. The transcript is spliced from 4 exons. The record is from RefSeq and is a predicted model, not a curated record. Lineage: Eukaryota; Metazoa; Chordata; Mammalia; Carnivora; Otariidae.